RNAcentral lists this ribosomal RNA (433 nucleotides) under uncultured bacterium. RNAcentral describes it as "partial 16S ribosomal RNA". It matches the Rfam family "Bacterial small subunit ribosomal RNA", at positions 29 to 507 of the family's 1533-position model. The record is from RNAcentral.
AACGAACGCUGGCGGCAUGCCUAACACAUGCAAGUCGAACGAGACCUUCGGGUCUAGUGGCGCACGGGUGCGUAACGCGUGGGAACCUGCCCUUAUGUUCGGAAUAACUCCCCGACAGGGGUGCUAAUACCGGAUAAUGUCUUCGGACCAAGGAUUUAUCGCCUUUGGAUGGGCCCGCGUUGGAUUAGCUAGUUGGUAGGGUAAAAGCCUACCAAGGCGACGAUUCAUAGCUGGUCUGAGAGGAUGAUCAGCCACACUGGGACUGAGACACGGCCCAGACUCCUACGGGAGGCAGCAGUGGGGAAUAUUGGACAGUGGGCGAAAGCCUGAUCCAGCAAUGCCGGGUGAGUGAUGAAGGCCUUAGGGUUGUAAAGCGCUUUUACCCGGGAUGAUAAUGACAGUACCGGGAGAAUAAGCUCCGGCUAACUACGUG